This 217-nucleotide small nucleolar RNA is filed under the name Rhodnius prolixus. Its description in RNAcentral is "small nucleolar RNA U3". It matches the Rfam family "Small nucleolar RNA U3". From Rfam's summary of the family: Small nucleolar RNAs (snoRNAs) are involved in the processing and modification of rRNA in the nucleolus. There are two main classes of snoRNAs: the box C/D class, and the box H/ACA class. U3 snoRNA is a member of the box C/D class. The record is from Rfam by way of RNAcentral. Lineage: Eukaryota; Metazoa; Arthropoda; Insecta; Hemiptera; Reduviidae.
AAGACCUUACUUCUACAGGAUCAUUUCUGCAGUAAGUGGUCGAUUGCAAAUAAUGUAAAAUUUUGCGAAAAAUAAACCAUGAUGAGGAAUCAUAGUGUUUUUUCCUUGAGCGUGAGUAAAGACUGUUUGGUUCUCAUUUUGUAGAAACUUGCAGUCAUCGAUGAUCGCUGGUUCUGCCGGAAACGGUGGGACGUGGGAAGAACACUUUCUGAGUGGU